Molecule: ribosomal RNA, 1579 nt
Filed under: Pachylemur jullyi
Lineage: Eukaryota; Metazoa; Chordata; Mammalia; Primates; Lemuridae
Description: 16S ribosomal RNA
Rfam family: Bacterial large subunit ribosomal RNA
Source: RNAcentral
ACUAAAACUAGCCCAGCUCCACUCUCAAAUAACAAAUCCAUACACACCCUAAACCAAACCAUUUACCACUCGACAAUAGUAUAGGAGAUAGAAAUUUCAAUAGGCGCUAUAGAGAAAGUACCGUAAGGGAAAGAUGAAAGAAUAUUUAAAAGUAUAGAAAAGCAAAGCUCACCCCUUGUACCUUUUGCAUAAUGACUUAACUAGAACAACUCGACAAAAAGAAUUUUAGUCAAUANCCCCGAAACCGGACGAGCUACNUANNAACAGNUANAAGAGCACACCCGUCUAUGUAGCAAAAUAGUGGGAAGAUUUAUANGUAGAGGNGANAANCCUACCGAGCCNGNUGAUAGCUGGUUAUCCAGAAAAGAAUCUUAGUUCAACUUUAAAUUUAUCUAAAGUACUAAAAACCUAAUGUAAANUCAAANGUUAAUCUAAAGAGGAACAGCUCUUUAGAACCAGGCUACAACCUUUAGUAGAGAGUGAAAAAGAUUAAACCCAUAGUUGGCCUAAAAGCAGCCACCAAUUAAGAAAGCGUUCAAGCUCAACACAUCAUAUCUAACUUAAUUCCAAACUUCACAAUAACCUCCUACUUACCUACUGGAUUAAUCUAUUAUUAAAUAGAAGCAUUACUGUUAACAUAAGUAACAAGAACCUCCAUUCUCCUAGCAUAAGCCUAUAUCAGAUCAGAUGCCUACUGAUAGUUAACCAAAAAGGUAAAAUUAAAUAUAACUUAAUAAAAUAUUACCCAAACCAACUGUUAACCCAACACAGGCAUGCACUAAAGGAAAGAUUAAAAGGAGUAAAAGGAACUCGGCAAAAACUAACCCCGCCUGUUUACCAAAAACAUCACCUCUAGCAUNACUANUAUUAGAGGCACNGCCUGCCCAGUGACAUACGUUCAACGGCCGCGGUAUNCNUAACCGUGCAAAGGUAGCAUAAUCACUUGUUCNUUAANUANGGACNNGNAUGAANGGCNNCACGAGGGUUNAGCUGUCUCCUACUCCCAAUCAGUGAAAUUGACCUUCCCGUGAAGAGGCAGGAAUACAAUAAUAAGACGAGAAGACCCUAUGGAGCUUAAAUUAAUUAACCCAAAUAACAUAAACACAACUAACCUACCUCUAGGUAUAAACAUUUACUAACCCUGGGUUGAAAAUUUCGGUUGGGGUGACCUCGGAGUACAACAUAACCUCCGAACAAUCUUAGCAUAGACCUCACCAGUCAAAUCNCACNCCUNNACUCAAUUGANCCAAUAANUUGANCAANGGAACAAGUUACCCUAGGGAUAACAGCGCAAUCCUAUUCUAGAGUCCAUAUCGACAAUAGGGUUUACGACCUCGAUGUUGGAUCAGGACACCCCAAUGGUGUAACCGCUAUUAACGGUCCGUUUGUUCAACGGUUAAAGUCCUANGUGAUCUGAGUUCAGACCGGAGCAAUCCAGGUCGGUUUCUAUCUAUUUAAUAUUCCUCCCAGUACGAAAGGACAAGAGAAAUAGAGCCAACUUAACAGAGUGCUCUCACUUUAAUAGAUGAAAAAACUUAAUCUAAUAUACUACCCAAUUUCCCUCCCAAGACUAGGGCUC